GGAGGGAUAGCUCAGUGGUUUGAGCAUUGGCUUGCUAAGCCUAAGGCUAUGCAUUCAAUCCU
RNAcentral lists this transfer RNA (62 nucleotides) under Pelodiscus sinensis (Chinese soft-shelled turtle). It matches the Rfam family "tRNA". From Rfam's summary of the family: Transfer RNA (tRNA) molecules are approximately 80 nucleotides in length. Their secondary structure includes four short double-helical elements and three loops (D, anti-codon, and T loops). Lineage: Eukaryota; Metazoa; Chordata; Testudines; Trionychidae. The record is from Rfam by way of RNAcentral.